RNAcentral lists this ribosomal RNA (253 nucleotides) under uncultured bacterium. RNAcentral's name for it is "partial 16S ribosomal RNA". It matches the Rfam family "Bacterial small subunit ribosomal RNA", at positions 524 to 776 of the family's 1533-position model. The record is from RNAcentral.
UACGAAGGGGGCUAGCGUUGUUCGGAUUUACUGGGCGUAAAGCGCACGUAGGCGGAUCGUUAAGUCGGGGGUGAAAUCCUGGAGCUCAACUCCAGAACUGCCUUCGAUACUGGCGAUCUUGAGUCCGGAAGAGGUGAGUGGAACUCCUAGUGUAGAGGUGGAAUUCGUAGAUAUUAGGAAGAACACCAGUGGCGAAGGCGGCUCACUGGUCCGGUACUGACGCUGAGGUGCGAAAGCGUGGGGAGCAAAUAGG